CCUACGGGGGGCAGCAGUGAGGAAUAUUGGACAAUGGGCUCACGCCUGAUCCAGCCAUGCCGCGUGCAGGAAGACAGCCCUAUGGGUUGUAAACUGCUUUUAUACGGGAAGAAUAAAGGACACGUGUGUCCUGAUGACGGUACCGUAAGAAUAAGGACCGGCUAACUCCGUGCCAGCAGCCGCGGUAAUACGGAGGGUCCGAGCGUUAUCCGGAAUUAUUGGGUUUAAAGGGUCCGCAGGCGGGCAAUUAAGUCAGGGGUGAAAUGGUGCGGCUCAACCGUAGCACUGCCCUUGAUACUGGUUGUCUUGAGUCAUAGUGGAGUGGCCGGAAUAUGUAGUGUAGCGGUGAAAUGCAUAGAUAUUACAUAGAACACCGAUCGCGAAGGCAGGUCACUAACUAUGUACUGACGCUGAUGGACGAAAGCGUGGGGAGCGAACGGGAUUAGAUACCCCGGUAGUCCACGCCGUAAACGAUGGAUACUAGCUGUCGGGACUUCGGUCUCGGCGGCCAAGCGAAAGUGAUAAGUAUCCCACCUGGGGAGUACGUUCGCAAGAAUGAAACUCAAAGGAAUUGACGGGGGCCCGCACAAGCGGUGGAGCAUGUGGUUUAAUUCGAUGAUACGCGAGGAACCUUACCAGGGCUUAAAUGCAGAAUGACAGGACCAGAGACGGUUUUUUCUUCGGACAUUUUGCAAGGUGCUGCAUGGUUGUCGUCAGCUCGUGCCGUGAGGUGUCGGGUUAAGUCCUAUAACGAGCGCAACCCCUGUCGUCAGUUGCCAACAGAUAAUGCUGGGGACUCUGGCGAGACUGCCGGUGCAAACCGAGAGGAAGGUGGGGAUGACGUCAAAUCAUCACGGCCCUUACGUCCUGGGCUACACACGUGCUACAAUGGCCGGUACAGAGAGCAGCCAUCCGGCAACGGAGAGCGAAUCUAUAAAACCGGUCACAGUUCGGAUCGGGGUCUGCAACUCGACCCCGUGAAGCUGGAAUCGCUAGUAAUCGGAUAUCAGCCAUGAUCCGGUGAAUACGUUCCCGGGCCUUGUACACACCGCCCGUC
Molecule: ribosomal RNA, 1057 nt
Filed under: uncultured bacterium
Lineage: Bacteria
Description: bacterial SSU rRNA
Rfam family: Bacterial small subunit ribosomal RNA
Source: RNAcentral